Molecule: ribosomal RNA, 253 nt
Filed under: uncultured bacterium
Lineage: Bacteria
Description: partial 16S ribosomal RNA
Rfam family: Bacterial small subunit ribosomal RNA
Source: RNAcentral
UACGUAGGGUGCAAGCGUUGUCCGGAAUUAUUGGGCGUAAAGGGCUCGUAGGCGGUUUGUCGCGUCGGGAGUGAAAACUCAGGGCUUAACCCUGAGCCUGCUUCCGAUACGGGCAGACUAGAGGUAUGCAGGGGAGAACGGAAUUCCUGGUGUAGCGGUGAAAUGCGCAGAUAUCAGGAGGAACACCGGUGGCGAAGGCGGGUCUCUGGGCCGAUACUGACGCUGAGGAGCGAAAGCGUGGGGAGCGAACAGG